RNAcentral lists this transfer RNA (70 nucleotides) under Ettchellsia sinica. Its description in RNAcentral is "tRNA-Pro". The record is from RNAcentral. Lineage: Eukaryota; Metazoa; Arthropoda; Insecta; Hymenoptera; Megalyridae.
CAAAAAAUAUUUUAAAUAAAAUAUUAAUUUUGGAAAUUAAUAAUAUAACAUUUUAAUGUUAUUUUUUUGA